CCAAACUCUGGGCUUUUUUCUGAGCAAACAUUUUGAGAGAAACCAAACAUGAUGAUGUGGAAAAGCGACCGGGGCUGUCCCCUCUCACAGAAGCAGGGCUGAUGAAAACACAGGGAUUAGUACAGAUGAAUCAUUGCCACUCCUGUCCCUGAGAGCGUUUGUUAGCGGCAGCCCAAUAAAGACCGGAUCUCCGAAAGCGCUGACAAGUCACCCACUGAGCCUGGGAGUUAGAGAUCGCUUCCGAAAUUGGUGGGAGGAGAAAGCGGGAGUGGAGACAUGGGGGCGUAUCCCCCUUCCAGAAUUCAUGUUCCUCCUUUUGUGUUUUGAAGGGUUCAAGAUUGGGAGGAAACAACCAAGAUCCAGGCACUCUUCAAAGCCUCUCCAAAAGGAGGGGCAAGGAGAGGCCACCCCGAAAUGAAGUCACAAGUGAUGGAUUCUUAGGACCUGGAGGUGAGGACUUUUGACCUACUUGCCUGAAUAUAAAUUUGCUCUAAACCUCCUUGUCUGCUAAGCAGGAAUAACUAUGCCUUCCUCACAAAGCUGGUCUGAGGAUCAUCUACAUGAGCUAAUUCAGUGUUUCCCAAACUCCAGUCAUUCCUGCAUCAGCAUCUUCAUUUUUACCAAAUUCACUUAAUUCAAGAAUUGUCAUUUAUUUACUUUUUGUUAAAUCAACUGUCUUCUUUAUAUAACUCCCCUUGUUUGUCAAAGGAAACAAAAACAGGUACAUGUUUGUUCACAUUUUAACAUCUUUGAAGGCAGCCUGUUCAUGCUCAAUGGUGUGUGACAGUCAAUCAGCAUAAUUUUUUUCUUUCUUAAUGGAAUAUACAAUAAUGAUGUGUAUAUAAUCAGCAACAUUUAAAUUCUCUUACAUAUGGAAAGUCACUUCUUUAAGUGGAAAUACAGGUUGUUUAUUUAAAAUAGAUGGAAACAUUUAAAUGAUAGGUUUUUAUUGUUACCUUUUAAUUGAAUUUCCAACAUAAUUAAAUUUCAGCCAGAGUGUGCUGCCUGCAAACCUGUUAGCCUGAGGCCUGCUCCCGAUCUAUUUAAAAGGAAAAUGUAGAGAGUAAAGAGGGUUAGUAAUGACUUACUAUCACUAAACUGAUAGGAUCUACAUGGUGUAAUACAGUAUAUAAUUCCAUGUUGCUAAUAGUUCCCCUGCACAGCACCCAAAACUAUCUCCAUCAGCAGGAAGUGUCUGCCUUGAAUCAAUUGUAGGGAUGUGGAUGAACCUAGAGGCUGUCAUUCAGAGUGAAGUAAGUCAGAAAGAGAAAAGCAAAUAUUGUAUGUUAGUGCAUGCAUAUGGAAUCUAGAAAAACGGUACUGUUGAAACUAUUUGCAGGGCGGGAAUAGAGGCGCAGACGUGGAAAACGGACAUGUGGACGUAGGGCGGGGAAAGGGAGGGUGGGAAGACUGAAGAG
This 1418-nucleotide long non-coding RNA is filed under the name Bos indicus x Bos taurus (hybrid cattle). Its description in RNAcentral is "lncRNA (ENSBIXG00000002753.1)". Lineage: Eukaryota; Metazoa; Chordata; Mammalia; Artiodactyla; Bovidae. The record is from RNAcentral.